RNAcentral lists this transfer RNA (71 nucleotides) under Loxodonta africana (African savanna elephant). It matches the Rfam family "tRNA". From Rfam's summary of the family: Transfer RNA (tRNA) molecules are approximately 80 nucleotides in length. Their secondary structure includes four short double-helical elements and three loops (D, anti-codon, and T loops). Further hydrogen bonds mediate the characteristic L-shaped molecular structure. tRNAs have two regions of fundamental functional importance: the anti-codon, which is responsible for specific mRNA codon recognition, and the 3' end, to which the tRNAs corresponding amino acid is attached (by aminoacyl-tRNA synthetases). tRNAs cope with the degeneracy of the genetic code in two manners: having more than one tRNA (with a specific anti-codon) for a particular amino acid; and 'wobble' base-pairing, i.e. permitting non-standard base-pairing at the 3rd anti-codon position. The record is from Rfam by way of RNAcentral. Lineage: Eukaryota; Metazoa; Chordata; Mammalia; Proboscidea; Elephantidae.
GCAUUGGUGAUUCAGUGGUAGAAUUCUCACCUUCCAUGUGGGAGACCCAGGUUCGAUUCCCAGCCAAUGUA